UAAUAGGUACUUUUAAAAUACUAAUAUGCUCUUUUUAGAGGUAAAUUAGGUACACAGAUGUACCUUUGGAAACAGCACUGCUUCAGUGACCGCAUUUGUAUUUAUUUUUGAGUUUUUUUUCAGAGAAUGUAGGACAACAGAUUGUCACAAGUAUAACAUGCUAGCGCUGGUUGAUAUACACAACCACUGCGAAAAACAGUUUAUAAUAAGUGUCUUAUAUUCAAACAGUCGGACACCCAGACUAAAAAAUGACUUGAAAUGAUCCCAUCUACAAUAAUAACCUGUGAGAACUUGAAGUGGGCUGAAUAGCUGGAGGGAGAGUCGCAGUAAAUCAUGUUGCCCUGAGAGCAAAGCUAUGUGGGCCGGUAAGAGGACACUGCUCUGUGUAAGAGGGCUUCUUGUUUGUGCUCACACCUUAAUUUCAACAGCUCUUCUCUGGCCAGCCACAGCAAGAGUUUUUAUUUUAGGUGUGUAGCAUGGUGAAAGAUUACAUAAUGUAUAUAUAUUAUGUGUUGUUUGUCACUUUAUGGACACAGAUGUGCUGAGAGCAGUCUAAAACAUUAAAUGGUACAUGCUUUAUGAUAAGCAAUAAACAAGGGAAUAUCUCCCAUGGUUGUUUUUUUUUUAUUAUUAUUUUUAUUUAAUUUUUUUGUACUCAAAUAUGUGAGCAGACACAGAGAACUUGCUUCAGCUGUAAACCCUGAAAGAGUUAAAUUCUCUUAUUCUUGCUAUGUAACAGCCUCUGUCACUUGUAGCUUUGUGUUGGUCACAUUUGGCAAAGAA
Molecule: long non-coding RNA, 783 nt
Organism: Carassius carassius (crucian carp)
Lineage: Eukaryota; Metazoa; Chordata; Actinopteri; Cypriniformes; Cyprinidae
Exons: 2
Source: RefSeq, a predicted model, not a curated record